Molecule: small RNA, 106 nt
Filed under: Marmota monax (woodchuck)
Lineage: Eukaryota; Metazoa; Chordata; Mammalia; Rodentia; Sciuridae
Source: RNAcentral
GCUGGGUGCGGUAGAGCACGCCUGUAAUCCCAGCAGCUCAGGAGGCUGAGGCAGGAGGAUCAUGAGUUCAAAGCCAGCCUCAGAACUCAGCAAGACCCUGUCUCUA